UGGGGGAUAUUGCACAAUGGGGGAAACCCUGAUGCAGCGACGCCGCGUGGAGGAAGACGGUUUUCGGAUUGUAAACUACUGUCUUCGGGGACGAUAAUGACGGUACCCGAGGAGGAAGCUCCGGCUAACUACGUGCCAGCAGCCGCGGUAAUACGUAGGGAGCGAGCGUUGUCCGGAAUUACUGGGUGUAAGGGGAGCGCAGGCGGUACGGCAAGUCUGAUGUGAAAGCCCGGGGCUCAACCCCGGUAUUGCAUUGGAAACUGUCGGACUAGAGUGUCGGAGGGGUAAGUGGAAUUCCUAGUGUAGCGGUGAAAUGCGUAGAUAUCGAGAGGAACACUCGUGGCGAAGGCGGGUUCCUGGACAUUAACUGACGCUGAGGUACGAAGGCCAGGGUAGCGAAAG
RNAcentral lists this ribosomal RNA (402 nucleotides) under uncultured bacterium. Its description in RNAcentral is "bacterial SSU rRNA". It matches the Rfam family "Bacterial small subunit ribosomal RNA", at positions 355 to 774 of the family's 1533-position model. The record is from RNAcentral.